Molecule: transfer RNA, 69 nt
Filed under: Nomascus leucogenys (northern white-cheeked gibbon)
Lineage: Eukaryota; Metazoa; Chordata; Mammalia; Primates; Hylobatidae
Rfam family: tRNA
About the family: Transfer RNA (tRNA) molecules are approximately 80 nucleotides in length. Their secondary structure includes four short double-helical elements and three loops (D, anti-codon, and T loops).
Source: Rfam by way of RNAcentral
GUAGUUAUAGUUUAAUUAAAACAUCAGAUUGUGGAUCUAAUAAUAGAAGUCUACAGCUUCUUACCUACC